AAGUAAAAAGUCGUAACCAAGGGUCUCCGUUGGUGAAACCAGCGGAGGGAAUCAUUUA
Molecule: ribosomal RNA, 58 nt
Filed under: Colletotrichum karsti
Lineage: Eukaryota; Fungi; Ascomycota; Sordariomycetes; Glomerellales; Glomerellaceae
Description: partial 18S ribosomal RNA
Source: RNAcentral